Homo sapiens (human) is the source of this 182-nucleotide long non-coding RNA. The record is from Ensembl. NCBI's taxonomy places the organism in Eukaryota, Metazoa, Chordata, Mammalia, Primates, Hominidae.
GAAAUGACAAGUGAGGUGAAAGUCAUAACAAUAAAUUGAAGCACGCGGAGAGCGCUCUGUUACCUGCCACGGGAGGUCCUGUAGAUCCGGUGCACGCUUCUCAGAGGUCAGCACCCCGCAGGCACACUGGUCUGCAUUUGCGGCAGCAACAUGAGAAUAAAAAUCAGCGCCUUCUCAGCGAA